GAAUUCCUACGGGACGCAGCGGUGAGGAAUAUUGGUCAAUGGGCGAGAGCCUGAACCAGCCAAGUCGCGUGAGGGAAGACGGUCCUAUGGAUUGUAACCCUCUUUUGCCGGGGAGCAAAAAGCGGUACGUGUACCGCAUCGAGAGUACCCGGAGAAAAAGCAUCGGCUAACUCCGUGCCAGCAGCCGCGGUAAUACGGAGGAUGCGCGCGUUAUCCGGAUUUAUUGGGUUUAAAGGGUGCGCAGGCGGCGAGUUAAGUCAGCGGUAAAAUUUCGGGGCUCAACCCCGACGAGCCGUUGAAACUGG
RNAcentral lists this ribosomal RNA (305 nucleotides) under uncultured bacterium. Its description in RNAcentral is "bacterial SSU rRNA". It matches the Rfam family "Bacterial small subunit ribosomal RNA", at positions 333 to 636 of the family's 1533-position model. The record is from RNAcentral.